UGCAAUUCUUCAGAAACCAGGUGUGGUGGU
RNAcentral lists this non-coding RNA (30 nucleotides) under Mus musculus (house mouse). The record is from RNAcentral. Lineage: Eukaryota; Metazoa; Chordata; Mammalia; Rodentia; Muridae.